GCCGAUUUUUUAACCGCUUUUCAGGACAGGGGAUUGAAAAUCCCCGUGUCCUUGGUUCGAUUCCGAGUCCGGGCACCA
This 78-nucleotide transfer RNA is filed under the name Salmonella enterica. Its description in RNAcentral is "tRNA-Phe". RNAcentral also lists the same sequence under 1 other name. Lineage: Bacteria; Pseudomonadati; Pseudomonadota; Gammaproteobacteria; Enterobacterales; Enterobacteriaceae. The record is from RNAcentral.